ACGGAGGGUGCAAGCGUUAUCCGGAAUCACUGGGUUUAAAGGGUGCGUAGGCGGUCUUGUAAGUCAGUCGUGAAAUCACUGGGCUCAACCCAUGUAAUUGCGAUUGAUACUGCAGGACUUGAAUUGGGUUUAGGCAGGCGGAAUGUGACAUGUAGCGGUGAAAUGCAUAGAUAUGUCAUAGAACACCGAUUGCGAAGGCAGCCUGCUGGGCCUUGAUUGACGCUGAGGCACGAAAGCGUGGGGAGCAAACAGGAUUAGAUACCCUGGUAGUCCACGCCCUAAACGAUGUUUACUUGCUGUUUGCCCUUUGGGGUGAGUGGCGUAGCGAAAGCGAUAAGUAAACCACCUGGGGAGUACGCCGGCAACGGUG
RNAcentral lists this ribosomal RNA (370 nucleotides) under uncultured bacterium. RNAcentral describes it as "bacterial SSU rRNA". It matches the Rfam family "Bacterial small subunit ribosomal RNA", at positions 525 to 896 of the family's 1533-position model. The record is from RNAcentral.